RNAcentral lists this ribosomal RNA (253 nucleotides) under uncultured bacterium. RNAcentral's name for it is "partial 16S ribosomal RNA". It matches the Rfam family "Bacterial small subunit ribosomal RNA", at positions 524 to 776 of the family's 1533-position model. The record is from RNAcentral.
UACGUAGGUGGCAAGCGUUAUCCGGAUUUAUUGGGUGUAAAGGGCGUGUAGCCGGGCUGACAAGUCAGAUGUGAAAUCCGGGGGCUCAACCCCCGAACUGCAUUUGAAACUGUUGGUCUUGAGUAUCGGAGAGGCAGGCGGAAUUCCUAGUGUAGCGGUGAAAUGCGUAGAUAUUAGGAGGAACACCAGUGGCGAAGGCGGCCUGCUGGACGACAACUGACGGUGAGGCGCGAAAGCGUGGGGAGCAAACAGG